Long non-coding RNA from Salmo salar (Atlantic salmon), 1268 nucleotides. RefSeq lists it as uncharacterized. Lineage: Eukaryota; Metazoa; Chordata; Actinopteri; Salmoniformes; Salmonidae. The record is from RefSeq and is a predicted model, not a curated record.
AUUCCUUGGUUGUUAAUUUUCUCAAAAUCUAAAGGCACAACCGAGAUUCGGGCCAAUUUCUUAAGUAGCUGAACAUGUUAUUACUCCAACCUUGUGAAAGUGAUAAACUGAAAGGUUUUCAUUUUCGUGAAAAACAACUUUAUAUCAAAGGAUCGCCUUCGAUUUGACUGUCUGCACAUACGCAGUUCUGCGCGAGACGAUCGUUAGACCCGAUGACGAGUUUCUGCGCAUGAUCUUAGCUAGCCAACGUCACCAUGACGUCACCUAGCAGCGUGAUCGGGGAUGUUGUAUUGGAGAAUCAGUUUCUGUCCAUCUUCAUACUGGAUUGUCUUUGUUAUUAUUAUGCUGCGAAAGUGGAAGCUUAUUUUCUCACUCGCAUAAUCAUGUGGUAUCCUAGUCGACAAAGCCUAAUUCUGUAUUUUCUAUCCUUUGGCGCGUUUGUGAACGGGAACGGACAACUAGGUGACUCUAAACUAAAUGAAAGGCCGUAUGUAGUCCUACAGAAUCAAAAUUUGGUUGUACUUAUUAGCGUCUUAUCUAUCCUGCUGGUGGUGAUGAUUGUCAUGGCAGUUUGUGUGUAUAAACCAUUGCAUCGCCGGUGAAGCAGUGUACAGCAACGUCAUGCUGUCCGACUGGAUCCAAGGGAAUCAACAAUCAAGGGAAUCAACAAUCAAAAAACCUUAGUCUACGCAUAUCUGUCUGAUAAACUGGAAUGUUAGACAUUAGGCACGGGGGUCCCGAAUUUUUAUAUAAACCUUAUUCAUCUUAGUUUUUUUCUCUCCAGUAUACACUACCCUGGUUGAAUUAAUGUUGUUUCCAUUGAUCCAAUGUGAAAUAGAUGUUGAUGUCUGUGCCCUGUGGGAUGUUGUGUUUUAUUUAAAUAGGCAAGUCAGUAAAGAACAAAGUCUUAUUUUCAAUGACGCCUAGGAACAGUGGGUUAACUGCCUUGUUCAGGGGCAGAACGGCUCGGGGAUUCGAUCUUGCAACCUUUCGGUUACUCUCUAACCACUAGGCUACUUGUCGCCCCGUGUGUCUUGAUUAGGCCAUAUAAAAUGUUAAUUUAUAUGAUUAUUUAAUAUUUUUUGUUAAGGUAACUUAAUAUUCCUGCUGCUGUCAUCGUUUAAUGGAAUUUGAAUGUAUUGUUUAUAUUUGUCUUAUAUUAUUUAUAUUUUUGCUUAUUUACCCUGAUAUAUUGGAGUAUUAUUAAAAUGCCCCACCACAAGGUACUACUGAAGUAAAAAAAAACAUGAUAAAAAAAAACUAACAUA